CCUACGGGAGGCAGCAGUGAGGACUAUUGGUCAAUGGGCGCGAGCCUGAACCAGCCAAGUAGCGUGAGGGAAGACGGUCCUAUGGAUUGUAAACCUCUUUUGUCGGGGAGCAAAAGCCGCCACGCGUGGCGUUCCGAGAGUACCCGAAGAAACAGCAUCGGCUAACUCCGUGCCCGCAGCCUCGGUAAUACGGAGGGUGCGAGCGUUAUCCGGAUUUAUUGGGUUUAAAGGGUGCGCAGGCGGACGAUCAAGUCAGAGGUAAAAUUGAGAGGCUCAACCUCUUCGAGCCGUUGAAACUGGUUUUCUUGAGUGAGCGAGAAGUAUGCGGAAUGCGUGGUGUAGCGGUGAAAUGCAUAGAUAUCACGCAGAACUCCGAGUGCGAAGGCAGCAUACCGGCGCUCAACUGACGCUCAUGCACGAAAGUGUGGGUAUCGAACAGGAGUAGAUACCCUUGUAGUC
RNAcentral lists this ribosomal RNA (459 nucleotides) under uncultured bacterium. RNAcentral's name for it is "partial 16S ribosomal RNA". It matches the Rfam family "Bacterial small subunit ribosomal RNA", at positions 338 to 795 of the family's 1533-position model. The record is from RNAcentral.